UACGUAUGGUGCAAGCGUUAUCCGGAUUUACUGGGUGUAAAGGGAGCGCAGGCGGUGCGGCAAGUCUGAUGUGAAAGCCCGGGGCUCAACCCCGGUACUGCAUUGGAAACUGUCGUACUAGAGUGUCGGAGGGGCAAGCGGAAUUCCUAGUGUAGCGGUGAAAUGCGUAGAUAUUAGGAGGAACACCAGUGGCGAAGGCGGCUUACUGGACGAUAACUGACGCUGAGGCUCGAAAGCGUGGGGAGCAAACAGG
This 253-nucleotide ribosomal RNA is filed under the name Roseburia faecis M72/1. Its description in RNAcentral is "partial 16S ribosomal RNA". It matches the Rfam family "Bacterial small subunit ribosomal RNA", at positions 524 to 776 of the family's 1533-position model. The record is from RNAcentral. Lineage: Bacteria; Bacillati; Bacillota; Clostridia; Lachnospirales; Lachnospiraceae.